Long non-coding RNA from Daphnia magna, 2706 nucleotides. RefSeq lists it as uncharacterized. NCBI's taxonomy places the organism in Eukaryota, Metazoa, Arthropoda, Branchiopoda, Diplostraca, Daphniidae. The record is from RefSeq and is a predicted model, not a curated record. The transcript is spliced from 3 exons.
CGUAGCGUCUAGCUGUCUAGACGUAACCACGUUGAAAGUGAUUCGCCUCUUCUGUACUAACUGCAAUAUUUAGGCCUUCGACGCGCAAGACUCACCGAAAUUUCCUGACGGGAGCUGUUGACUGUUUGGUAAAAAGCAGCAGCAGCUACGACCAUAAGUCACCACCAGUCAACCUACCAGUGCGUAGCCGACAUUGAGCAAUCAUCAGGCAAGUGCUUCUAAACAAUCCGAAGACAAAGGUCGCAGUGCGGCGUGCCAGAGUAUAGACAGUUCUCGCUAAAUCCACAACUCCCAGUCUGGUUUCCCUUUUCUUUUUUGUUUUACUAUGUAAGUAACGCAUCCUAUUCGAUACUCCCUGUUCGCUUAGAAUAACUUAAAGUGCAAGAUAAAUAGUAUAGCAGAACUGGCCCUUGGUCACGUUUGGGUCUGAAUGAAACAAGACACAGCUCGAAUUGUUUCCUCAAAAUUAUGAAACUGUCAGAGAGUCAGUUUUACUCUCUUUCGCGGAGGGGGUCUGGAAGAGGUCGUGGCCUUUUCUAAGUCUCCACCUGUUCCCUGGUUGGGUCGAAACCGGAAAGCAUUUCUCUUGGUCGUGCGCAGCAUUCUCAGCACACACAUCUAGAAUGGCUGGAACAAUUUUCUUGAAAUACGUUACAGUUUUAAACAGCAAUGGGUAUUGAAGCUGGCAAUCGGAGAACCAGUAAUGAUGUAAGCGUAGCAAAAUCAUGUCCAUUCAGUUCUUUCUUUCAUCGCCUUACCUUUUACUAGUCACAACCUUUGUUCACAUAAAACUCGGAGUGCCUGGCUAGGCAGAAGGCGCGGAAGGAAAGAGAGAAGCAAUUAAGCAAAAAAGAAUGGCACGGCGAUUUCAACAAAUUAAAUCAUUUUGAUAAAUUUAAUGGAAAUAAGCCAAUUAAAUAAGUUGUAAAAAAAAAGUUAAAUGUGCAACGGCGUACAACUGUCUGCAAUAUGCAUAUACCCAGAAAACCAAUGGCGUGAGCACACAUUCUAAUGCAAAACGUGAAUCUUUUGUACAAAACGCGUAAAAAUAUAAAAAGUUACAGAAAACCAAAAACAAAAACAAAGAUCGUAAAUUACGGUCUUCUUCACCUAUAUUUUAUGAGCUCUCUAGUUUCUUUAUUCUCUAAAGCGGCAGCCAAACCUGUAAAAAGAAAAGGGUUGGCAUUGGCAAUGAGAAAAAUGAUUUAAAACGACUUGAGGUAUUCAUCAUCCGAUCCCCAUUUUUAAGUCGUCUGCAAAACCAGUCGCUUUUUACUUGACGUGUCCUUUGCUUGAGUUAGAUUUAUUCAUUGGUCGGAUAAAGUCAGAAACUAAAAAAAAAAGAAAAAUUCAUCGUAUGUUUUUUGUUGAAAUCCAUAACCGUAGUCGCCAUGUCACUCUGCUUUGGCAACUUCACGUCUCACCUUGUUCUUCACUUGUUUUCGGUCAAUCCAUCACGCACGAGCAAGUACAAUCUGUAACAGAUCAUAGCCUUUGGGUUUGAAAUGAACUAUUUGUAUACACGAGACGUAUGCAAAACGUCAACCGAAAAAAAAAAAAUAAUAAUCGUGAAGGACAGCAUAUGAACUGCAUGAUAACUGCGUGAGAUCUGUCUUUUUCUUGCAUCACCAACUUUUGCCUCGGCUUUGCUUCGUCAAGAAAUCAGUCGAAUAAAAGGUGUGUCGUCUACUAUUUCUCACCAGUAGUUGUUUCUUUACCACCCAGAUGGUCGGCAACAGGAACAGAUUUGAAGAGGGGGUUAGAGAAAAUAAAACUUGAGCAGCCAUUGACAGCUACAGACUUGCAUGGCUGCGUGUGUGUUCUAUCUCUAGUGGACUUGUUUUCUUCCUUCGUUUUCUAUUACUAAAAACUAGCGAGACAGAAACCAAAAGAGAGAGAGAGAGAGAUAGAAAGAUAGAUAGUAAAAAAUAAAAAAAAUAAAAUAAAUAAGGAAUCGAUUUGUUAACUGCCAGGAUCACAGCUGUAUAAUAUACACACAGCAUCGGUCUCCUCUCCACGCUCCUUCGCUUGACAGACUUGAACGCACAUCUUCGUUGUCGUGUCGUCCUCGUCUAAUUGAUGUCGAUUUUCAUUUUUGAACCCCCCCUAGAAGAGAGUCAAAAAGACGAAUGAUUUUAAGCGACUCCUCCCCAAGUUCACAACCAAACUUUGUAUGCGAGUCUUCAAACAAUCAAAGAGAAGAAAACCCCCUUCGAAAUGUUUUCUGAAAUGGAACCACUUGACCCGCGUCAGACUCUCUGCUGAAACUCCUUCCAACAAGUUGCAUACUAAAGCACUCAUGUCGAUCCUCAAGAACACGUACUUGUCCAGCACAUCUCCACCCGAAACUUGGACAAUGUUAGAGCGGGCAGCACAAACCAACAAACUGUUCGUAGUUUCCUCAUCUUCACGGUGGGAAGGACAACGUAGACAGUCGACGACACGGGCCAACACGGAUAUGGCAGCGCUCACCGCUGUCGACCGAUCCAUCACUUCAAUCGCACUGUAUUUCCAGCAGCUAUGGAAAACUAGUCGAACAUUGAAAUGCAAUAUAAACACACAGUGGUGAUGAAAUGGAGAGAAGAAAAUGCUGAAAAUGGAAAUUCAUCUGUUUUCAGUCACCUCCCUCUUUUUUUCCCCCUUUUUUAAGUUCAUAUUCCAUCCUCUUUUUUUUUAUGGUAUAAAAUAUAGCAAAUAUCAGCUGUU